AGAGAUCGGGAGGACUAAUUCCAGUUCGAGCUUGCUUUCGUUUUACGAAGACUCUGCUGAUCCGUACAAUAAGCCGGGGAAUUAAUUUAAAUAAAUAAAAGUUUAAGUUAAAUUAAGGUCGUUUUUUUCUUUUUUCCUUUUUCUUUUGCAUUUGUAGCUUUUGUUCGGGUCUGAAAUGAUGAAACGAUCCUUCGAGAUGUGUGUGAAUUUGUUAUUUUCACCGAAAAUAACAAAAAAUAUGUAUGAAGUAUCGAUACGUACAUGUAUGUAUGUAUGUAUCGAAGGGGAAAUGAUGUAGAUCGUUGAUCGUUCCAUGUAGUUUCAGAUCCCAGUGUUUGUGAUAUGUACAUGUAAUAUCGAAUGCAGAACUUAUGGUUAUAUAUUUGUUUGUUCUUUAUGUUCUUUAUGAUCAUGUUGUUUUAAAGCUUCAAAGAAUAACCUAAUGUUUUACCCUCUGGAAAUCAAUUGUUGAAUUGUACUCGAAUUUCUUUAAAAACCGAUUUUAAUCCAAUUUUCACAAUGAUUAUUUGACGAACUUAUUGCAGAUUUUCAGUUAAAGUGGUUUCAGGAGCCUGGAGUCUGGAGACAUGUCCUUAAAAUGCAACGUUUUAGUGAAACUGGGUUCAUCAUUGCAUAUUCUGGAGUAACAGAUUAUUAUUUCCACAGUUAAAUGGUAAAUUACUGAAAUUGGUAUGAAAUGUUGGUUACUUGAAAUUGAUUUUGUGUGUACACGUGUAGGGUCCAAAUCUCUGCAAGCGUAUGCAUGUUAUAUUUUAUAUAAAGAUUUUUAAUGUGAAUAUAAGAAUAGGCUUAAUUUAAGAUUUUUAAUAUGACGAGAAGAUUUUUAAUUUUCGUUUUAGAAAAAUGUUAUCUCCAGAGCAAGGUAUUUGUUUUCAGAACAAAUUCAAUUCCCACUUCCCCUUGCAUCCAUAUAAAUCAUACAACUUCAGCAUAAAUUUCUGCAAAUUACUCUGAAAAUUAAAAAACUGCUCUGGAUAUAACAUUUCUCUUCGUUUUAGUACUAAUAUAAAGGGUCGGUCUGCUCAUAUAAAAUCAUAGCAUAAAUUAGUAUUCCCUCUGUCCCAUUUAAUUGUAUACGUUUCUUUUCAACUGCUCGACACGCAUUUCAAUGCUCUUAUAAAAUAUAGUUCCGUAACUUAUUUUUGAGAUUUUCUUUUUCUGUAUAAAAAUAUAACAUCCAAACUUUAAUUCAGAAAAAGAAAAUUUUAAAAAUAAAUUACACAACUACACUUUACAGGAGCAUUAAAGUCCGUGCCGCGUCCCCGUCCCCCAAUAUAUACUACUCAGGGGAACGGAGGGAGUAGUAGUAAUAUUUUCAUGAUGAACAUACAAGCUUAUUAAGAACUGAACUAAUUAAUUAAUUAGCAUUUAUGUGGAUUCAAAAUUGCUAUAUAGUUUGAUCCCCACUUUAAAACUGAUAUAUGUCUUGUAUGUAGACGGUGAUUAAGUCCUAUUACAAGUUAAGGAGCUGAAUCAAUCAUGCUGUUCCGGAGAAUGAAAUGAAAAAUUAUAUAAAAAUUUUAACAAGAAAUAAAAUGUAUAAGAUAAUAGUGACAAGAUAGGAAUGUAUUUAAAUUUCAUGUGAGAAAGUUAGUAAAGCAAAAUGAUGUACAAAUAGAAUGAGCAUUCCUUCCAAAACGUGUGGAUUAGAAUAGUUAAAAUAAUAGGAAUGGAAUGAUUGAAGGAAUAAAAAUUAUAUACAUUUUCUUUCAUCAACAUCAUUUUAUAGUACAAAAUUCAUUUCAUUCUCACUCCAUUCUAUUCUCUCCAAGUGAACACAACCUCAGUGAUCAUAACAUCAACCCAAAAAUAACAAAUCAAGCUUUGGGGAUAAACUCUCUCCGUCCGUUCCUUUUUUUUUUCUUUUGCGUGGUAGUCGUCGGGUUUCCACUGCAUCGUAAAAAGUCCCAAAACAUUUUAUUUCUUUUAUGUUUUCUUCCUUUUUUCAAUAAAACUUGUUUUAAAGUUUUGAUUUCCCUAAAAAAACUUAUUUAUUAGGUAAGAGUGGUAUGCUUUUUCGGAUCUAAAGAUUCAAUAAUUUUCGAUUUGGUCUCCUUUUUCUUAGAUCUCAAUUCUACGGAACUACAGAUUUCGUGUUCUUCCCAUUGUUUUACAGUUCGUGUGAGUAUGGUACUUAAUUUAGUAAUAAAAAUUAUUAGAGAAUUACAUUCUUAGUCGAUAGUUCAAAUUGGAAAGUGGCGAAGCAUGUGUAAAUAUUAUCUUCAACAAUCACGUGAUUUUAUUUGCAAGAAGAAUAGAUUAAUAAGUGAUUGUUUAUGUGUUUUGUUUGUUCGACGUGAUUAUUUAUGUAAAUAUUGUAUAACUUUUUAUUAUUGAAUUAGCUCAUUUAUUGAAAAUAAUCAUUACAUAUAUAAAAGAAAUUCUCGACCAAAAUCCUUCAUUUCAAUAAAAACUAACUAGUUGUUAAUAUAUAUCGUAAACACAUACCUGAAAGAUGCAUAACAAAAUUAGCACAUCACAUACAAAUAAUAUCAUCUCGUGAUUACUAAAAUACUUAAUUUAAUCCGUGGUGAAACACAUUUAAGAAAUUUAUUGGUACUUCCUCCGUCCCACUCAAUUCUUUACAUUGGGUCUGGGCACGUAGAUUAAGAAAUAUGUAUAAAGUAGUGGAAAAGAAAAAGAAAAGUGGGUGAAGUGGUGGGACCCAUGGAUUUUUAUUUUUUUUUGCCAAGAUAGAUUUUUAAUAUAUAAAAGAAAGAUAGUGGAAUAAAAAUAACGUGAAAAGAAAGAAAAAAUGGGAAAAUGGUGAGACUCAUUAACUAUUUUAAGAAAGUUUUGUAAUGUAAUUAGAGUGGGACGAUUUAAGAUAGAAACUGUAAGGAAUCUGGUGAGACGAGACGGAGGGAGUAAAACUUUUGCGUCAUUUCGAUUUUACGGAAUGGUGUGAAAGUGAAACAAAUCUAAAAUAAGCUCAACCUGACAACAAAGUUGAUUCUGCUGUGGGAUUCCAUAUUAUACGGUACUCCCUCCAUCCCCCUGAAUUGUAUGCAUUGGGGGACGGGGACGCGGCACAGACUUUAAUGCUCCUGUAAAAUGUAGUUGUGUAAUUUAUUUUUAAAAUUUUCUUUUUCUGAAUUAAAGUUUGGAUGUAAUAUUUUUAUUCAGAAAAAGAAAAUCUCAAAAAUAAGUUACGGAACUAUAUUUUAUAAGAACAUUGAAAUGCGUGUCGAACAGUUGAAAAGAAACGUAUACAAUUAAAUGGGACAGAGGGAGUACUAAUUAAGGGGUGGCAGUUUCGGGUAACGGGUCGUGUUCGUGUCAGCAAUCGGGUCGAUUUCGACUUUUCGAGUCAAUUUCGGGUCAAGCUAAAAUCACUUAAAAUUGAAUAAAACUUAAAAUUGAAGUUAUUAGAAACAAAAUUCUAAUUUCGGGUCAUGUCGGGUACAGUUCAUUUUAAAACGGGUGAUUUUCGGGUCAUUUUCGGAUUUUUUUUCUUAGUAAAUCGGGUUACGAGUUCGGAUCGGGUUCGAAUCGGGUUCGGAUCGUGUCUGAUAUUGCCAGCCUUAGUAACAAAUUUAUCCCAAGUAUUCAUUCAGUGAAGCUCAAACUCAUGCUCAUUUUUGCUCCUUGUUUUCUUCCGGGUAAUUUCUGUAAUCACGUGGUGACUGAAUGAGUGAAUGCUGAUUACAACAUUGACGGACAGGAGUUGCCCAGGUCUCUAACAAGCCUGCAGGCUGCAUGUUUGUUUCCUGCGAGAUACUCUGCUCACUACUCUUUUCCUAUUUUUUUACUCUUAAAAACGGACGGUGGUCUUUCUAGAGUGUCAUUUCCAAGAUAAACUAAAUUAUGCUAAAGCACGAGAAUUAGAGUGCAAUUUGUUUUUAAUCAUAGUUAUUCAUGUUACUUUCUUAGUGGGAUGGUCCGGCUCCGGCACCUUGGGGGUCCAUGGUGCUCACAUUGAGUUAAAUAAUUGUUACUUAGUCAUGUCGGUCACGUGGGCAACUCAACCCGGCUCAGAUGCCAUCGUAGACUCACCGUACCCUUCUGCCCGAAUAAAACACAAGUUUUAUAAUUUUCCCUUGCAUAAUGGUCCUGUUUGGAAGUUAGAGGUUUGAGCAAAAAUUAAAAGUUUGAGGUGGUUUAGAGGUUUGACCAUCGAAAUCCGCUAAUUUUAGUGUUUGGUAGUUAGCGAAUUGAAAUAGAGGUUUGGGUCCAAAAAGCUAACUUUGUAAAAGCUAGUUUGAGGAGUUUUUUGGAUUAGAGGUUUUGGUUUGUGUCAGAAAAAGCUAAUCAAUCAGCUAUUAACCAAACAUUUUUACGGAAAACAGCUAAUCCAAUCCGCUAGUCAAAACAUCUAAUUCAAUCAGCUAGUCAAAACAUCUAAUUCAAUCCGCUAACAGCUAACCGCUAAUCCCCAAACAGGGUCAAUAUAUUCUACAUUUGGAAAUUAUUGUUACGAGUUACGACCUUCAUAUUGUAGAGUUUCUAUUGGGGUUAAAAUGGCUUGAUCAUAACUAAACUGGACUUCAACUUGCAAGUGGAUAACUAAACUCAAAAACCUUGCAUUUAACUCACUAAACCAGCUUUUACUUGCAAUCAGAUAACUUCCGUUAAAUCAACUAACGUGACUAACAGCAAAUAGUAUGACAUGGCACUGAGUUUACUGUCUAAAGUGUAGAAUAGUUGGAUCUGAUCCAAACCUAACAUUAUUAGUUUAUUUUCGGACAAUUGUAUAUGAAUGCCACGGAACCAGAUCUGCAUAUACUACCUUCUUCUUUUGAAUCAUUAUUAAAUCCUGCAAUCACAUUUAAAGGCAAAAGAAUGUGAUAAUGAAAAACAAACUACAUGGGACAACAUAAACGAGAGCAAGUGUCACUGCAGCCUCUGGGGGAACCCAAAAUUUGUCCAGUUUCAUCAACAUAUGUACUUUUUUCACUGAUCCACUUUAAAUACUACGCUCACCCUUCUCUUUCAUCUUUCAUGAUUGUUAUUCUCCCUCGCGUGUGUAUAAGCCGUACGUGUAUGAUUAAGUUGGGGGUGCUUUGGAUCGACUAAACUAAGGGUAGUGGGUUAACUGAAUUGGGGUGAGUUAUGAAAUAAUCGAGCAGGUCAGAUGAAUUUGGGUCAGAUGAAUCUACGUGGCAGUUGGCUUGUAAAAAGUUAACGAUCUUCCGUUAAAAAUUAACAUCAUCUAAUGGAUGUGCAGAUUUUAGUUAGUUUAAUUAUUUGAUUGCAAGUAAAAACUAGUUCAGUGAGUCAAAUGCAAGGUUUUUGAGUUUAGUUAUCCACUUGCAAAUUCAAGUUCAGUUUAGUUAUGAUCAAGCCAUUUUACCCGUUUCUAUUGCAAGAGCCGAAUGCACACCAAAAUUCAAAACUUACGCUACAAGUAACACCGCAAUCCCACCUCGAGUCGUGCACCCCAGUUCCACAUCGAGUCGUGUGGAGACAUUAGUUCAGUUUAUAAGCAUAAGUAUUUCUACUAAUUUUGAGGGCUUAUGAUAGACUUGUGGAUUACCCAUGUUGUUGCAGUUGAGCCAAUUUAUUUCGAUUUAAUUUCGGAUUCGCUUGACCUGAUACUCGAGAUUUGAUCCGGGUUGUCACACUCUUACCAUCACUCUUAUAAUAUGAAGGUAUCAUAGUUUAAAAACUUGAAUUCCUGAGUGAUGUACUAUAAAAAAUGCAUUCGGCUUUGAAUACACAAAACUAAUCUAACAAACGCACUCCCAAUGAUAAUCCCAAGGCUGAUAAACAUUUUACAGAUCCCACCUACAAGGAACAAAUUAACCAUUCCAGAACAUGAUACAAGCAAUCUUACACGUGCUUUAUACUUUAAGAGUGCUUCUUCACUUCCUCAUUCAUUUUUUAAUUUAGACGCUUUUUUUUUUUUAAGGAAUUUAGACGCUUCUUUUAAUUUUAAGAAAAUGUAUAAAUGAAUAUAUCAGUCAUAUUGAGCUCCAUAAAUAAUUCACAUCCAUUUUACCGAGAACAUAUAUUGAUCCACCAAAAUCGCCAAAAAAGAUAGAAAAUUUCAUAGCGGAACGGUUUAAAAAAGGGUUCUUAACUAUUACUAACUUAAACCAAGGGAUGAAGAGCACGAUUGGAUAGCCCAAGUGGUUAAGGGUUUAUCCUCUGUUGGGGUCCUGGGUUCGACUCUGGCUCACCUCGAGAUUAUCUUAGAACAGAUACUCAAAUUGUAAGGCUAUAAUAAGCCAUGUUAGUAAAAAAAAAAAACCAAGGGAUGAAACUUUGCCACAUAGGAAUUAGUAGCCCCACAUAAGGUUGAGUGGAGAAUCGGAGGGAAGAUUUAAAGAUAGCAGCAGUUAACAAAAGCAUAGAGUGAAAAUGACAUGAAGCACAAUGUAGCAGAGGGAGUCAACUUAACGGUAACAGGACUAGUCGAAAGAAAUGACGCCAAGUCCAUAAAAGCAUGCUCGAUGUUUCCAAUGCAGAAGAAUAUCACUAGUAAGUAGCGGUAGCAAUCAAGUAAAGGAGGAAUCUACUAAUACAUGGGAAAAAACGGAAACAUGAUCAUUCAACAAGACCUUGUUCGGUUGGGUGUUUAAAAGUAUUUGAUUUUGUGGUUAUUAUUAAUUAAAAAAUGGAUGCGAGUAUGAAAGGGUUACCUGAGAUAUCAAUUUUAAAGUUAGUUUUUUUUUUUUGACGAAAUUUUAAAGUUAUUUUUUAUUUCAUCAUAAAAUAUUGACAACAAUUAUAAAAUAUAUGUACGAACAAAUGUCGAUAGUACCAAAAAAUAUUUAGAAUUUUUCAUGUAAAAACAUAAAUUAAUUUAAUUUAUAAUUUAACAAUAUUUUAAAUCAAGAAAUGAUUCCAACAUAUUAACCUGAUUCCAAAUUGUAAAUUACAAAUUCCAGGCAUAUACCUCUUAAAGAAUUAUAUAAGCUCUAAAAUAUUUUAGACACACGCAUGCAAUAUAUUUAUUAUUUUUUGUUUAAUUUCUAUUAUGUUUCAAAUGACAACUUAAAAAUAUACAAGGCUUAUUCAAUGAUUAUAGUUCGAAUGAUGAAAACAAUUUCGUUUGGAUGAUAGAAAUUUAUAAUUUAAUCAUUUUAAAUGUUCUUGUUGAUACCAUGCGAUCCUGUAUUAAUGAUUCAUUUAUUCUAGAAAAAUGUAAAUCCCGGGAAUACAAUCUAGAUGAUCGAAGUAUAUAAUGUCGACCAUUUUAAUUUAUUAAGUGAAAUUUUUAUACAUUAUUAUACUGAGAUUAUUAAAUUUUACUAAUUUUUCAAGAUAUUGAUUAAUCGAAAAUAAAUAUGUAUCACUAUUAUUAUGUGGUGAGUAAAAUUCUAGAAUUCAAAUAUUAAUUUAUUAUAAAUUAUAAAUUAAUAAAUUAUUGGUUAUUUACUCCUAUAUAGAACAUCACCGGACCCACGACGAGCAAUUGUUCAUUUGGAUUAGUGCUAUGCACGGCCGCGGACAUAAACGUGGACUAAUGUACUGGAUCAUUUGAUUGCAGUCCACUUUCCACAGCUUAUGAAGUACUAGCAGUCCAGGCGUCUAGCAGAUAGGAUGGACAUUCACCCGGACCGCUCGACCCUGCUCCGCUCCCCACUCCGUUCGGGUUGGGGAUUCAGGGAAUAUCACAAUCUAAAAAAAUGAUCACGAAUAUUUUAUAGUUAAAAGAACAGAACGCUAAAUCGUGCAGCAUUCUCUUGUGGUUAAGAAUACAUAACGCUAUUUCUUGUAAUAUUUUACGCUACACUAUCUAGCAUUUCUAAUUUGGAAGAACUCUAUAUUAUCCCGUGUUACUAGCCGGCGAUAGGACCAUUUUUAGUUAUAACUUCUGCAAGCGAGUAUAGACAUUAAUUCCCAAAUUUGGGAUAUAGCGGUUUGGUUUAACUUAAAAAAAAUGACUUCUUGCUUAUAGUAAAGAAGUGGAGUAGAAGUGAGAAGUAAAUAAGUUAAUAAAGUGUUUGGAAAAGAAGCAGAAGCUGUGAGACAGAAGCUAGCAUUCUCAAAUUUUUAAAAGUGCUUCUGCUUAUUCGUACAAACGGGUUAAGAAAAGUAGAAGCCAAAAGCAGGUAUUACUUCUUGCAAACAAACAGUACCAUAAACAAGGAAGAAUAUACUAUAAUUUUAUAAAGGGAUAAUUAAUUCUGACGUCCCUGAACUAUAGGUUGUUUAUUAUCUAGGUCCCUCUCCUAUUUUUCUCAAUAAUGCGAUCCUUAAACUUUUAAUUUUUUCUGAUUCGCGUCCUUCCGUUAAAAGUCAACUAACAGACGUUAGUCAAUGCUUACGUGUCUGAUGCUUACGUGUCUAGUGCUUAUGUGGCUGACUUUCCAAAAGCUUUUUUGCACCCUCGACAUCCAUAUCCACAAUCUUCUUCGAUUUCCAGCAUACCCCGUAAGCAUUGCCAAUGCUUUAGCAGCUGCUUCUUUAUCCUCAACAGCUUUACCAUCCAGCAUCCUCACCAAAGGUGCAAUGCCCCCAAAUUCCCCCAACUCCUUUCGCGUUUUUAUAUCGUAAUCCCAAAUUAUAAACAGCCCUAGCAGCAACAACUCUCAGUCUCUCACUCCCAACACAUUACAAUUCAAAUCCAACACAAUCCAUCCCAAAAUCCACUCAAAACAAUAACCUCAGCAAUUGGAUGACACGAAACUAAACACCUAAAUAACUCAACCACAACCUUCAAACCCCUAACAUUCGAAACAGAAUCCAAUAAUUCAUCAAAAACUUAACCCCGCCUUCCUUCACAAUAAAAAGCUUCAACCUUUCAUCAUUAAUCAAACACAAAUUACACAAACACCCAAUCACAUUUUCCCACAGUACAGACUUUUUCUUUGGCAAACCCGAAACCCGAUUCGAGGACACGAAUCAAUGCUUGAAUUAAAGCCAACCCUUCUGCAAUGAAAACAUGCUUGCUUGAAGAACUGAAACCCUAAAAAUCAAAACGACGUCGGUUUUUUUAAGCUGAGGGGACGAGUUUGAAUGCCGUAAGCGCAGGAGCAAAUGGAAAUAACAUAUUUUUGAAUAUUAUUUUAAGUUGCCAAAUCAACAGAAUAUAAGCAUUAGCCACGUAAGGAUCAGCCACAUAGCAUUGACUAACGUCUGUUAGUUGACUUUUAACGGAAGGAUGUGAAUCAGAAAAUAUUAAAAAUUUAAGGAUCACAUUAUUGAGAAAAAUAGGAGAGGGACCUAGAUAAUAAACCACUUAUAGUUCACGGACGUUAGAAUUAAUUAUCCCUUUUAUAAAGCGGAACUUAUAGAAUUACGAGAAAAUUUACCACUUCUUUUCGAAGUUGGAAACAAAACAAGGGACCAAAGCUCCUAUGAUGAGUUUUAAUCGGGGCUAAGUAUUCGGCUGGUUCGAUUUAAAAUCGAAAAUCGAUUUUUUUUUAAAAAAAAUUUGAACCGGACUGAAUUAUUAUUAUGAACCAACCAAAUCAAUCGAAUUAUUUUGAUUCGGUUUUGGUUUAAAAAAACUGAGUUUCUGAAAAUUGUAUUUUCACUGUAAAUCCAUAAACCUCAUUCAGACAAGCUUCACCAUUUAACACAUAGAAUUUCAUACAUUAAAACAGAAUAUCACUUGAUUACUAGGAGAGUAGAAGUAGCAACUAGCAAGCCAAAAUAAUAGUAUCUAUUACAUUUGCAUUACAGAGCUACACUGAAAUUGAAAAACAAAUGUUAUGUUUGCAAUCUCAGUCUGCAUCUGCAGUUCCAUUCUCCAGUUUCAGCCCUUAGCGUUUAAGCCAAGUCGCACUUCUACAAAUAUGUAAAAUAAAUGUUGAUUAGUACCAGCACUAUAUGAAAUGUUAGCAGACUAGAUAUAAACAUCCCCAGAUUAGGUGACUGGCUAACAACAGUGAAAUAAGUGUCCAGUAAAACAUGAAGAAGAAUCGGUGUAAAUUGCAAAAAGAAAAAAAAAACGAAGCAAAAAUAUAACAAGAGUUCCAUAAUGUGUUUGAUGCUGAAGUCCAGAAGCUUGAAGAAGCUCGGUGCAGAGAUCACUACAAGUCUACAGCUGGUAAUGACACCUGGCCCAUACAUUAACAUUUGAACAUUUUCAAAAAAAUAAAAAAGAAAAAACUAACAUUUGAACUAUGGCCCAUGAUAGCAUUCGUCUAUCUGAAUAUAUAGCCCAUACUUUUUAAGGGUCAAGGAGAAUAUCAGAAUACAAGUCAAUGCAAUAAACUCCCUGUUUAGUAUUUAUACAAAAGAAUUAGGGUGCAGUGCUCCAAAAGAGUAGGAGGAAAAAGGUUAAGAGAGAUUUGAAUCCGCGACCCAAGUUUUUGUUUGGGCCUUGGACCAACUCGGUCAUCUCAUAUCAUAGGAAAAGCUAAUCAAAAAGUAUUGGAGUUAUAAAAAAAAAAAAAAUCCUCUAGCCGUCGUGAGGGCUUCCAUAGGUUUUCAGAAAGCCCCAAAUCAGUUAUUUUCUUUGUUUUGUUUCUGUUUUUCAAUAAUACUACUCCCCAGGUAAGGAUUUCUAUCUUUCAAGAUUGUAUCUUUAAUAAAAUCUUUUUUGGCUGAGUUUUGUUCCCAAUUUAUUUGGGUUUUGUUUAUUCUUUCCUUGUGAGAGCUUGGCGUGUUUUUUUGGUGUGUUUCAAUGUCCAGGACAUUAGAUCUGUCAGAUUUUCAAAGUAUUGAUUCAGUGGUAAAGAUUCAAAGGAUUGAUUCAAUGGUAAAGAUUUAUAUGGGAUUGCAGUUACCAUCGAUAGCUCAAAUGAGUUUUGAUGAAGUUUUGAUGAAGGCUAUAUGUGUAUAUAUCAAUUUCAACAAAUCGCUUGAUUGUGUCUUUAUAAGGACUAGAUUAAUCAGCGAUAUGAUCUGUUUUAUGUUUUUUCGACUCGAUUGUUCUUGUAGAUGCCAUAUGACUUUUCAUUAUUAAAUUAAUUUCUUUUUUUUCAAAAAAAAAAGUAUUGAAGUUAUGAUAGUACAAAUUAAGAUUAAUAUUUAAUUGCCAUUAGAACUGCUCAACUUCUAUGCAAGAUUACACCUAAAUCUCCCAAGUGAAGAUCAAAAAUGCAUUAUGAAAUCAAGUGCUUGUCAUAUACAUAGAAAACAUGCUACAUUGUUGAGGAUAUGCAGUGCUUUGUCAUAUUUCUUGUACUGGGGGAGAAAAUUUUUUUAUACAUUGAAAAUAUAACACAACACACAACAUUUCACUUUCAACAUCAAAGAAACGUUUAUAUUGUAGGACAACGGAUUAUGUCCACUUGUGAGUAGUGGAAUCUUCUACGAACAUUGAAAAUGCGUAUUUUUACUGUUAAUAUCAUUGGAAUAUUAGUCACAUUAAGCAUCAGAACUCAGGGAAUAAAACAGAUCUCAACCAUAAAAACCAAGGACUAACUAGCCUAUCAAGCUUGUCGUAUUUCAACUACUACUUAGUAAUUACUGAAUACAAUAGCUCAAGUACCUUGGUCCAAACGUAGAUAACUAACUGAUAAACUACAAAGCAUUCUCCUCCAAGAUUAAUGUACUUCAAUUAUUUAUUUAAGCUCAGCAAUUUCUACUUGCAACAUAUAAACCCUUUGAUCCUGCAUAUUUUUCAUGCUAUUUAGUUUCACUCAAAUGCUGAACUGGACCUUAAAACUCCACGAAUAUGUGAAAACUUAAGAGAGUACUUCAUAUAUUUCUAUAAAUCAAUAGAUGCAGCAUCAAGUCAGCUAAUGUAUCAAUAUAUCUAUGAUAGUAGCUUAUCAAAGUCUGAUAAAAAUAUCGAAAGAAGGCCAUACCCUGCGCUGUGCAUCACAGAUCAAAAGGUGCACAUUCUGUUGGUUAACACAGGAAUUUUGCCUUUCCGGAAAAAAAUUCAAGGAGUGAUUACCCUAUAUGGCUAUAUCUAUAAGUUCUUCGAAAAUUCCUUCAAGUUCUUCACUUAUCUGCACUUUGUCAGUUACUUUACUUGGCCUGGGGUGGCAUUUAUAAAUUAGGUUAUAUAUAAAUUUAUCAGUGCACCAUUUAAGUCUCUAAAAUCAGAGAUCAGGAAUUUGUACUGUAUUAAAUAGUGAUGAACACGAUCCCGGCAAAAGCAGAUUUCUGAAAGAGGUCAAGUAAAAAAAGUACAAGUGCAUGUAUUAGACUAUUACUAAUAGCCUAUUAGAGUAUCUUAAAUUUUUUUGUUUAAGCAUUCCAGGCUCUUUGUCUGCAUCUAUAUUAAAAAUAUCUCUCCAUACUUGGACUGGGGCAGCAUAUAUAAAUUUAGGCUAUAUAUAAAUUUAUCAGUGCAACAUUUAGGUCUCCGAAUUGAUAAGCAUAUGUUCAACUAAGAACAGCAAUGGUUCGGUAAAAAAGAAGAAAAAAGAACAGCAAUGAUCAAGUUUCACAAGCAGUCAAGCAUCGUAAGCUAGUGGAUAGGUAACAGGAGGUUGAGGUUUUGAGUUUCAGUGGAGACAUCAGACAUGAUUAAAUAAAUAUAUAAAACAUAUAUGCAAUUGACAAUUACAAAGGAAUAAUAUGAACCUCAACUAUCAAUUCAGGUGGAGCAAUCUAUAAAAAAUAUAUGUCAUAAAGCAUACCGUUAGAGAUACUCACAUUAAUGAGAUAAGCUGGGAGAAUCUGCAGCUUCUGGCACAAAAGAAUAUGAACUUUAUUUCUUAGAGAUAAUCGAGUAUGCUCCAUGCAUUAUAUUACAAAAGAGGUGCCUUGAAAAAUAAGUUGAAAUUUUCAAUCAUUCUUCCAUCGCAGAGUAACUCAAUGAAACCUGAUUCUUAGUUCACAAAUAAAUAAAUCAGAUUACGGACCUUACUCAGGGGGGGAUGGGUUGCAGCAGCAUCCAUGAAUGUCUGCAAUAUUCAAAAACUUACAGCUACUAAUAAGAAAAGUUAUUUCAUACUGCAGUAUGAGGACAGGAUAAUGGGCAUUUCAGAGCUUACUGUUGAAGAUACACAUCAAUUAUAUAGGUAGAAAGUGCUUAGAAUUUAGUCGCUAUAUUCAGAUACAAAUCCAAUUUACUUAAGUAAUGUCCGAAUGACAAGUAAUCAAUUUUAAUUUUCAGAGUAACAAUUUGAAAUGGUGAUUUAAGAAGGCUAGGUAAAACAAUGCAAAUUAUGUAGGAAGACAUCAAUGACAUAUCAAACCAUUGCGAGUUUCGACCAGUGAAGAAUAUCUGUUGCAGUAUAAGGACAACUAGCAUUUGUGAUAAAGCAAACUACUAUAGGUCUUUACAUCUGUCAAGUAAACUAUUAGCAUUUUAGUGUACUUGCAGAAAAUAUAUUAGAUAGUCAUUCUAGACAUACCCACCCAUCUUAUACACUACCAAGAAUCCAAAAGAAUAUAAGUUUACAAAAGAUAUACUUUGUUAGGUUACAUUAGAGUUUAUGUCUUAUAGCAGAACUAUUUUACUUUUACCCGCAAACUAUCAAUUUGAUUCCUUGGAAGAUGUCACUAUUGCAAUGCUUUAAAAUAAAGUUCGAGAUGCCUAAAAAAGUUUUUUACUUCAAACAUAAUACUAAAUGGUUUCUUGGAAUAUAAUACUACUUAAAAGACAACAUUUCCUAGGAAAAAACAGUCACCAUUUUGCACCUAAUAUUCCUCUUGCCAGCUACUAAAACAUUCUUGCAGACAACUUCACAGUGCUUUAGUGCAAUUACGUGCAGUAUAAAGACCCCUCAAACUCAUGUGAGGGCAUCAAAAUCUCAACUUCACACCCAGCCAUAUUACAAAACAAGCACAUAUAUAUGUACACAAAAGAGACCAGCAACUACAUCAGGAAAUAUGCUAUUUCAAUGUGCCUUUGAUAGUAGUUUAUCGAUGUCUGAUAUGGAUGUUGAGAGAAGGCCAUACCAUCGCAAUUGCAGCUGCGCGCUGCACAAGAAAAACGAUGCACACACUACUGCAUGUUUUCAACACAGGAAAGUUGCAUUUCCUAAGAUACAGUCAUUGACUGACUGCUCCAUAUCUGUGACAGCUUCCAGAAGAUCGAUACAAUCUUCACAUAUCUGUUUUCAUCAGGUAAAAUAAAGAAAAAGAUGUUCUUAUGUUUAUAAGAAACAAAGGAACAGACAGAAUGAUGUUUAGUAGGUGACCAAAAUUCAUAAAUUUUCAUAGAAUUAGAGAGUACUGUGUAAAUUUAUUUGUGAACACAGUACUCAUCAAAUUCCUGUAUGUAAUCUCAACGAUAAGAAAGCGCUAGGCUGAUAAUAUCUCAUUCAUGUACAAUUUAGGGAACUCAAUUUUGGGUCCAGUCACAUUGUUAUACACACAGCUGAUUUGGAAAUUUUCCAAAGCUAUACUUUGUUUCUUAAUGAGCACUGGAAAUUCGAUGAACUAAAAGACAGUGGUAAGUUCAUGUCAUUGUAUGGUACAUGCCCUCCCUCGGCAUGACAAGUCCAAGUUCAAAAUUAAUUCAUAUUGACCCGAAAUUAAAUUUUAGACUAUUUGAAUAUUUCUGCGCUCAAGUGAAUAGUGCAGUUUUGGAAGUCAAUACAUCUGGUAUAGGAUAUAAAACGUGUUUCGACAAAAUAUGCGAUCAAGCAUUAUUGCAUAAAAUGCAGAAGAAAAUUGGUCUUUAAUCUUUAAACACCUGAUAAGAAACAUAGAACACAGCUAAAAUAUUGUAGGCAGGACCAUGAGGAAGUAGGCCAGUCUUCUUGUUGUCUUGCACCACAGGUCCGAUAUAGUUAACUUGUUCCAUAUGCCCCAGUUAAAAAUGUUAUUUUUAAAGUAAAUAAAAGUUCUUUAUAGACUGAAAAAUGAGGUUAAUCCAUAUUGCAGCUCAAACUAAGGCAAACCUGAUUAUUGAUUAUAGUUAACAGAAGAAGAAAAUUUAUAAUGUACCUUAUGAAGAGUGGAUUGGCACAGGCAUAAACCAUGAAGAAGGUUGCAGCCUUGCAGAUUUUCGUACUCUGAUCAAUGUAAAGCAAAUUAAACAGUGUAUUAUGAUAAAAAAGUGUUAGGAAAUCAUGAUCUCUGGCUCAAAUUUUAGCAGAAGUUUGGAAAAGCUAUGUGAAUGUUUGAAUUUUCAUGAAUUUUUAAACACGAUAAACAGUUGAUCAAAUAGAAGCUACAAGUACGACUCAUAAAAUUAUAUAUAUUCACUUGAUAACAUAUUUACAUACAUGAACCCAUAUUACAAGUAUAAUGCAGGGAAGCAAAAAAUAUAUUAUUCACAGCCAUUCUAGCAUUUAGGAAACACCCAGUGGAAAAGUUGGUAUUAAGAAUAACUAUAACGCUUACCUAAUAUUAACUAAGCAAAUAAACCAAAUCAAACUAAGCAUAUCUGGUAUAUAUAUCUUCAUGUAAUAGGAUGUGAGAUGUAUACAUACCUUACCUCCAAUUCUAAUAUUAUAGAAAAUAUUUUAGUGAAGACCCACUCAUAAUAUUACAAAGACAAAGAAGUUCAUGAAAAUUAUUGAAAUAGCAGAAUUUUUGAAACUUGUUAAAAUUUCUCUUUUGUUCUAAAAUAAAUAUCUAAAACGAACAAGAAGAAAACAUGAUACGUUGUUAAGCAAUAACAGUUUCUUGUCAUUUUGUUUGUACUGGAGGAGAAAAAUUUGUUAGACAUUGAAAAUAUAAUACAACAGACAAAACAUAUCACUUUCAAGAUCACAAACAGACAGGUUUAUAUUGUAGGACAACGGUUUAUGUCCAUAUAUGAGUAGUUGAAUCUUCUUCUAUGAACACUAAGAAUGUUAGGCUCACUGUUCAAAUCAUUGGAAUAGUAGUCACUCUAAGCAUGAACUUUAACUUGAAAGAAACAUAUUUCAAGCAUGUGAAUAAAUACUAACUUGAACCUAGGUAUGUCAACUCUAUACUUAGUACAACAUCACAAAGUACCUUGGUCCAAACGUAAGAUAACUAACUAAAAGAAUCUUCCUCCUAGAAUAAUUCACACUCCAGUCAUUUAUUCCAGCUCAACAAUCUUUACUUACAAUAUAAGAAGCCUUCACAGGCAUGCAAAAUUUCAGAGCUAUUUAGUUUCAGUAUACUCUCAACCCCACAAACACGUUAACUGUUAGGGAAAGUAUAGAUUAAGAAACUGAUGGAUGCAGCAUCAUUUCAUAUGAUGAACCAAUAUGUCUAUGACAGUAGUUUAUCAAUGUCUGACACAGAAAUAGAGAGAAGGCCGUACCAUCGCAAUUGCGGGUGUGCAUUGCACAAAUCAAAAGGUGCACAUGCAGUUUGUUUUCAACAUGGGAAUGUUUCAUUUCAAAAGAAAAAGUCAUGGAGUGGCUGCUCAGUAUCAGUAAAUUGUUCCAGAAGCUCUACAUGUUCUUCCUUUAUCUGCGCUUUUUCAGGUAGGAAUACAGCAGAAGAAAUUUAACAGUCAAAUAAAGAAGAGAAAUUAUAGUGUAGGUAGCAAGCAGUAGUUUUUAACAGAAAAAGAAUUGAAUAUAGUGCUGAUGCUCCUAUAUAUAUAUUGAAUAGUCAUGUAAGGAGCAAGCAUAGUUCUUUUCUUAACUUCCAUCUCCUCUGUUUAGGCUAAUUUAUAGAGUUCUUUUGCAGAUUGUGUUUGAGAUAUGAUGUAUAACUAGUACCAAAUUAAGAGAUGAAUUAGAUCUUGAAACUAUUCUGCCGUAAGAGUUUUUAAAAUUACAUGUAUGUCAUCAACUCGAAAUUGUAAUUACUAAUUAGUAACUUCGAAUACAAUGCAGAUAGACUUAUAAAGCAAAAGGUCAAGUAAACUAAGAUAACAGGAUUCUUUGGUACAUAUGGCGCAUAUUAAUAAACUUUCUUCCAAAUAAGAGUAGGUGUGAAAUAAAAAGUGAAUUCUAAAAAGGAGCCGGGUAAAAGAAAUUACAAGUGCAUGAAUUAGAAAAUCUAGAAUUUUGUUUUACCAUUCCAGGUUCCAUGCUUUAUAAGAAUUGGGAUGUAUACGAGUAAUAUUGGUUCUAUAAUUUGUGUAUACUUGUACAGUUAUCAGUGCAACAUUGAGGUCUCUAAAUUCUGAACCUAUUCUGUAGACCAAUGGACAGUUAAAUAAGAAGCUGAGAAUUAUUAUUUUUAACUGUGAGUAAACACAUGUUUACAAUCUUUGUAAUCAACCACUACAAAAAUAUAUAGCAUGAAGUCAUGAACGUUAAUAUUGAUCCAAGGAAAGUAACUUAUCUUUCCACAUCAACAAUGCAAAGUAGACCUUGGAAUAUACCUAAGAGAAAGUUCCAUAUUGUAUUUAUAUUAUUAGCAUACACAACAUUAUCACUUGAUACUAAGCUGAAACAGUGAAUAGUUAAAAGCAGACGAUAAGGAGAGUACAAUAUUUAAACAGUUUUUCAAGCAGGAAAUGCAAACCAUUGCAAAUGAUGUAAGAAGCAUGAAAUUACAGUCGAAACCAAUUCAAUGAGUAAAAAGGAACUUCGCGAGUUACUACACUGCAGACAAAAUAUAACAUCAGUAUUAGAGCAUAGUGCUAAUGCACUUUUAAAGUCAAUUUCGAGUACCUGAAUGAAUUUACUGCAAAAUAAUAAUAAUAAUAAUAAUAAUAAUAAUAAUAAUAAUAAUAAUAAUAAUAAUAAUAAUAAUAAUAAUAAUAAUAAUAAUAAAACCAAAUAGAGCUUAAUAUGCGGAAGAACUGAGAGGACCUAAUCAAGAUAGGUGAUUGAGAGGUAUAGAGCUAGCUUCUUCAUUAUGGAGAAUCCAUUCUCAGGGUUUUCACAAUAAUUAAAAGUAAACUGAUAGCUCUUUUUCUUCAGUCUAAUGAGAAAUAUCACAUAUUCAAUGUUGUGUACAAAAAAGCCAACCCAUUAAAAAAACCAGGAAUCCAAUACAUCAGUGUUACCAAAAAAGGGACUCCUCGUUAACUAAAAUGAAAACAGGUUGUCAUUUUUGGAUUAUACUGUAUAUUCAUAUGAAAUAUAUUCCCUAGGAGUAAUCAACAUUCCAAGCAUGAUAAUAGAAUUUGAGAUGACUUGAAGAAUAGGCACAAAUUUUUGAAAAUAUCUUCAUUGCAAACUAGCGAAAGGCAAACCUGAUUCUCAGAGCAGACUAUUACAUAUUCUUGUCAAUUAAGUAGGAAGUGCUUAAUACUUUGUUGACUGUUGUUAUAUUGCUUUGCAAACCCAACAGUUCCAAAAAGGUAAAGCAAGAUUACGUAAGAAGACGUCGAUGACAUUUUAAACAAUUUCAACCAGUGAAAAAAUGCAUGUGUGAUAAAGCAUUCCUUUAUGCUUUUCACUUUUAAGAGAAUAUUGCAUACUUACAAAAAUCAUAUAUAAUAUGGAAUAUGCAUCCAAGAUUGUAUAGACAUUCCCACCCGUCUCUCAUACAUAACCAUGAAUCCAAAACGAGAUAUUUAGGUAACUUGCAGAGGACAGUUUGUUUUUUAGUGCAACUUUAUAGUUAACCACUAAACUAUCAAUUUGAUUACUUAGGAGAUGU
This 18255-nucleotide long non-coding RNA is filed under the name Daucus carota (carrot). RNAcentral describes it as "long non-coding RNA (DCAR_LNC002898)". Lineage: Eukaryota; Viridiplantae; Streptophyta; Magnoliopsida; Apiales; Apiaceae. The record is from RNAcentral.